UUUAGCCUGGGAGAACAUGGCCUGUGAUGUAGAUGAGGUGUUGUGGCCAGGGAGAACAUAACUUGUGAUGUAGAUGAGGUACAGUUUAGCCAGGGAGAACAUGGCUUGUGAUGUAGAUGAGGUGAUGUUUAGCCAGGGAGAACAUGGUUUAUGAUGUAGAUGAGGUGCUGUUUAGCCAGGGAGAACAUGGCUUGUGAUGUAGAUGAGGUGCUGUUUAGCCAGGGAGAACAUGUCUUGUGAUGUAGAUGAGGUGUUGUGGCCAGGGAGAACAUGGCCUGUGAUGUAGAUGAGGUGCUGUUUAGCCAGGGAGAACAUGGCUUGUGAUGUAGAUGAGGUGUUGUGGCCAGGGAGAACAUGGCCAGUGAUGUAGAUGAGGUGAUGUUUAGCCAGGGAGAACAUGGCUUGUGAUGUAGAUGAGGUGUUGUGGCCAGGGAGAACAUGGCUUGUGAUGUAGAUAAGGUGCUGUUUAGCCAUGGAGAACAUGGCCUGUGAUGUAGAUGAGGUGUUGUUUAGCCAGGGAGAACAUGGCCUGUGAUGUAGAUGAGGUGUUGUUUAGCCAGGGAGAACAUGGCCUGUGAUGUAGAUGAGGUGUUGUGGCCAGGGAGAACAUGGCCUGUGAUGUAGAUUAGGUGAUGUGGCCAGGGAGAACAUGGCUUGUGAUGUAGAUGAGGUGAUGUGGCCAGGGAGAACAUGGCUUGUGAUGUAGAUGAGGUGUUGUGGCCAGGGAGAACAUGGCUUGUGAUGUAGAUGAGGUGUUGUUUAGCCAGGGAGAACAUAGCCUGUGAUGUAGAUGAGGUGUUGUUUAGCCAGGGAGAACAUGGCUUGUGAUGUAGAUGAGGUGUUGUUUAGCCAGGGAGAACAUGGCCUGUGAUGUAGAUGAGGUGUUGUUUAGCCAGGGAGAACAUGGCUUGUGAUGUAGAUGAGGUGUUGUUUAGCCAGGGAGAACAUGGCCUGUGAUGUAGAUGAGGUGUUGUGGCCAGGGAGAACAUGGCCUGUGAUGUAGAUGAGGUGUUGUGGCCAGGGAGAACAUGGCUUGUGAUGUAGAUUAGGUGUUGUGGCCAGGGAGAACAUGGCCUGUGAUGUAGAUUAGGUGUUGUGGCCAGGGAGAACAUGGCCUGUGAUGUAGAUUAGGUGUUGUGGCCAGGGAGAACAUGGCCUGUGAUGUAGAUUAGGUGUUGUGGCCAGGGAGAACAUGGCCUGUGAUGUAGAUUAGGUGUUGUGGCCAGGGAGAACAUGGCCUGUGAUGUAGAUGAGGUGUUGUGGCCAGGGAGAACAUGGCCUGUGAUGUAGAUUAGGUGUUGUGGCCAGGGAGAACAUGGCCUGUGAUGUAGAUGAGGUGUUGUGGCCAGGGAGAACAUGGCUUGUGAUGUAGAUUAGGUGUUGUGGCCAGGGAGAACAUGGCUUGUGAUGUAGAUGAGGUGUUGUGGCCAGGGAGAACAUGGCUUGUGAUGUAGAUUAGGUGUUGUGGCCAGGGAGAACAUGGCUUGUGAUGUAGAUGAGGUGUUGUGGCCAGGGAGAACAUGGCUUGUGAUGUAGAUGAGGUGUUGUGGCCAGGGAGAACAUGGCCUGUGAUGUAGAUGAGGUGUUGUGGCCAGGGAGAACAUGGCUUGUGAUGUAGAUGAGGUGUUGUGGCCAGGGAGAACAUGGCUUGUGAUGUAGAUGAGGUGUUGUGGCCAGGGAGAACAUGGCUUGUGAUGUAGAUGAGGUGUUGUGGCCAGGGAGAACAUGGCUUGUGAUGUAGAUGAGGUGUUGUGGCCAGGGAGAACAUGGCUUGUGAUGUAGAUGAGGUGUUGUGGCCAGGGAGAACAUGGCUUGUGAUGUAGAUGAGGUGUUGUGGCCAGGGAGAACAUGGCUUGUGAUGUAGAUGAGGUGUUGUGGCCAGGGAGAAAUAGGAGACAGGAUGCAGCCGAAUGUAUUUUUUCUUACAUUUUUCACGUGUUUAUGUCUUUUUUUGUGUUUAGAGUUUUAAAAGAAUGAGCCUCUUUCAUUUUUACAUUUUUUUGUACAGAAAACUCUUUAUCUUACUGAAUGUUUUUCCUGUUUUUCUCCUGUUGGGUAUGGAAAGUGUUACAUACAAAACACAAGUGUUCAAAUAAUACUGCUUUUUGGAAAUAAAUGACAAUGUUUUUGUAA
This is a long non-coding RNA of Oncorhynchus keta (chum salmon), 2133 nucleotides long. RefSeq lists it as uncharacterized. The transcript has 12 exons. The record is from RefSeq and is a predicted model, not a curated record. Lineage: Eukaryota; Metazoa; Chordata; Actinopteri; Salmoniformes; Salmonidae.